This 72-nucleotide transfer RNA is filed under the name Caudoviricetes sp. Its description in RNAcentral is "tRNA-Met". It matches the Rfam family "tRNA". From Rfam's summary of the family: Transfer RNA (tRNA) molecules are approximately 80 nucleotides in length. Their secondary structure includes four short double-helical elements and three loops (D, anti-codon, and T loops). Lineage: Duplodnaviria; Heunggongvirae; Uroviricota; Caudoviricetes. The record is from RNAcentral.
UGUGGGAUGGAGAAGUGGCAUCUCGUUAGGCUCAUAACCUAAAGAACGGCAGUUCGAAUCUGUCUCCCGCAA